RNAcentral lists this unclassified non-coding RNA (334 nucleotides) under soil metagenome. Its description in RNAcentral is "partial contains 5.8S ribosomal RNA, internal transcribed spacer 2, and large subunit ribosomal RNA". The stretch from base 1 to 120 matches the Rfam family "5.8S ribosomal RNA", at positions 35 to 154 of the family's 154-position model. The record is from RNAcentral.
GAUGAAGAACGUAGCGAAAUGCGAUAAGUAAUGUGAAUUGCAGAAUUCAGUGAAUCAUCGAAUCUUUGAACGCACAUUGCGCCCGCCAGUAUUCUGGCGGGCAUGCCUGUUCGAGCGUCAUUUCAACCAUCAAGCCCCCGGCUUGUGUUGGGGACCUGCGGCUGCCGCAGGCCCUGAAAAGCAGUGGCGGGCUCGCUGUCACACCGAGCGUAGUAGCAUACAUCUCGCUCUGGGCGUGCUGCGGGUUCCGGCCGUUAAACCACCUUCAUAACCCAAGGUUGACCUCGGAUCAGGUAGGAAGGCCCGCUGAACUUAAGCAUAUCUAAGCGGAGGA